UACGAGUACCCCGAGCGUUAUCCGGAUUUAUUGGGCGUAAAGCGUGCGUAGGCGGUUUAUAACAUCUCCUGUUAAAUCCCAAGGCUCAACCUUGGGGCCGCAGGAGAUAUGGAUAAACUAGAGGCCGGAAGAGGCAAGCGGAAUUGCUGGUGUAGGGGUUAAAUCCGUUAAUAUCAGCAGGAACACCAAAAGCGAAGGCAGCUUGCUAGAACGGUUCUGACGCUCAGGCACGAAAGCGUGGGGAGCGAAUGGG
Molecule: ribosomal RNA, 253 nt
Filed under: uncultured bacterium
Lineage: Bacteria
Description: partial 16S ribosomal RNA
Rfam family: Bacterial small subunit ribosomal RNA
Source: RNAcentral